CCAGUCUAGCUUCAUUCCUCACUCCUCCAGGCACUGACUGCUCUGGAACACUCCCCGGCUCCACUGGAAUCCGCAGGGCUGCAGAGUGCAGGCUCUGAGCCCUCGCAUGGCCACUAAUCUUCUCCUGUCACUCUCACCGAACUUGUGCCUUUCUUGGCCUCUCCCCAACACAGGCCUGCAGACCAUCUCUGAGGUCAGGCUCUCAGGAAUGACCAGCCUUGGGCCUCCACUGCCUCCGGAAAGGAGUCAUUUACACAGCGCCUCUCAUAUUUCAAUCAUCAGGUUGGCAAAAGUCGAGGGCACCAAACACAUCAGGAGCCGCGGUGGGGGACCACCAAUAGGAUCCUAUGCUGCUCCUGGGACUGAGGAUUGGUGCCACCUCCUUGGAGACCCACUCAGAGGUGGUUACUCAGUGUUUGACGGCAUGUGUGCCUUGGACCCCAAAUUCCACUUCCGGGUACCUUUCCUAAGGAAACACAGCUCCUGGCAACAAGGACACUGAAGGAACACUUGAAAACGCUGAAAUUGUAAAGGAAAACCAAUAAACCUGCACAAGGGUCCUUACGUGUGGAAAUAAAGAAUCAUGUCAGGGAGACCCAGAAGGGCUUGGGCAGCCAAGGUAAGAUGGCGAGUGAGGGGGCAGGGCCAGAACAAAGGAACGUGGAGAAGGUCUUCUAAUGAAGUCAAUUUGCUGGUUGACGAGAAGGGCUUGUGCACACAAGCAGGGGACACAGUGAGACAGACACGUCACACUCACGCUCUUGAGGGGGAAUCCAGCAGAAAAAGUAAAACAGACAGGUGGACAGAGGGGGCUCCCAUCAAUACUAGUGAGGACAGUGUGGACAGGGAGGAGAAAAGGAAAGGAGGAAAUGCCAAAGAACACAAAAUACAAGCAGAGCCCCCCCCCCACGGAUUUCUGGCUCUGGGGCCCCUUUUCUGCAGACAAGUCUAUCUCUGUCGCUUUUGCAGUAAACCUGCUGCUUGCUUGCUAUCUCUGUGUCCCGCCCUUCAGUUCUUUGCUGAAUGCAGACAGUGAACCCAUCACCCCUAGAGGAUAACGUUGGCACAUUCUGGAGAAUGCUAGGUAGAAGGUCAAAGUGAUGGGACAGUUCUCCAGGAACGCACAGGAAAAGUUCACCCGGACUUCCUGCCAAAUGCAAAAUCCAAGUUGCCACACUACAUGCAGCGUGAUCCAGUGUGUUUUACAGCCCCGUGAAACAGAGCCAGGCAUUUCCACAGGGGUAUUCGGAUGUAUGUGAACACACGAGUGGAGAAUACUUGAGGAAACACACCAGGCUGAAGCACCUUGUGAAGUUGGGAGCUGUCGUGGAGAGCACUUCUUGAGGUGAAUCCCACCCACAGCACAGGAGUCUCCUUAAGGAAGCUCCAUCCCACCCACACCCUCCGGGUCCAUUCAAGGCAGGUGCCCAGAGGCAGCUUAUUUUCUCCAGGACACUCAGGGAGAAAAGGAAAUCCACAGAGGCUGAGCAGGGCUGUCAGCCUCACCCCACGUUGGGUUCUGGGGGAGUGUGCAGCCUGACCACCAGUAGCAGCCCCAGACUCAUUGCUCAGCAAAAUCCCAAGGGACCCUGCUCCCCGGCCAUCCAGAUCACAGAUGUCACUACCUUCAGAUACUGAAAGAUACAUCUGGCCCCUCAUCCUAACCUAAAGCAGCCAACUACCACUCCCAGUGUUACCAAAGAAGUGGGGGAGUGAGGACCCUUGCCAUGAACUGCCACUGCUUUUAACAUCACCAAUGACAUCAGAAUCCCUGGACCUGACCAUGGGUACAACCUAGAGCCUCUGAGAGGACAAGAUAUGGGGAUGGAUCCCCAAAACGGAUUGAUUGGGCCCCGAGAAAACUCACUCAGAAACUCCAGCAUAAGGGCUCAGAGGCU
Molecule: non-coding RNA, 1898 nt
Organism: Ictidomys tridecemlineatus (thirteen-lined ground squirrel)
Lineage: Eukaryota; Metazoa; Chordata; Mammalia; Rodentia; Sciuridae
Source: RefSeq, a predicted model, not a curated record